UGGGGCGUAGCCAAGCGGUAAGGCACCGGGUUUUGAUCCCGGCAUUUCGUAGGUUCGAAUCCUGCCGCCCCAG
RNAcentral lists this transfer RNA (73 nucleotides) under Desulfofustis glycolicus DSM 9705. It matches the Rfam family "tRNA". Rfam says of the family: Transfer RNA (tRNA) molecules are approximately 80 nucleotides in length. Their secondary structure includes four short double-helical elements and three loops (D, anti-codon, and T loops). Lineage: Bacteria; Pseudomonadati; Thermodesulfobacteriota; Desulfobulbia; Desulfobulbales; Desulfocapsaceae. The record is from Rfam by way of RNAcentral.